UCCGCCUGCCCUGUGACUUAAGUUUAACGGCCGCGGUAUCUUGACCGUGCAAAGGUAGCGUAAUCACUUGUCUUUUAAAUGAAGACCCGUAUGAAUGGCAAAACGAGGGCUUAACUGUCUCCUCCCCCCGGUCAAUGAAAUUGAUCUCCCCGUGCAGAAGCGGGGAUAGUUACAUAAGACGAGAAGACCCUAUGGAGCUUUAGACACAUCGACAGAUCAUGUAAAUACCCUUAAUAAAAAGACAAAACCAAAUGAACCCUGUCGUAAUGUCUUUGGUUGGGGCGACCCCGGGAAAAUAAAAAACCCCCGAACGGAAUGAAGAAAUUUAAACUUCAUAAACAAGAGCCACAGCUCACAAAAUCAGAACUUCUGACCCAAAGAUCCGAUAUAAUCGAUCAACGGACCGAGUUACCCUAGGGAUAACAGCGCAAUCCUCUUUAAGAGCCCCUAUCGACAAGAGGGUUUACGACCUCGAUGUUGGAUCAGGACAUCCUAAUGGUGCAGCCGCUAUUAAGGGUUCGUUUGUUCAACGAUUAAAGUCCUACGUGAUCUGAUUUUCAAGACCGGA
Molecule: ribosomal RNA, 568 nt
Filed under: Poecilia reticulata (guppy)
Lineage: Eukaryota; Metazoa; Chordata; Actinopteri; Cyprinodontiformes; Poeciliidae
Description: partial large subunit ribosomal RNA
Rfam family: Bacterial large subunit ribosomal RNA
Source: RNAcentral